UGUUGGUCUAGAAGUAGUGAGUCAUCUCAGUUGACUGCUCACAGUGUUAUAGCUCAAACUCAUUGUUCUAUUCUUUCCCCCUUCUCACUACUGCACUUGACAAGUUUUAA
Molecule: Y RNA, 110 nt
Filed under: Carlito syrichta (Philippine tarsier)
Lineage: Eukaryota; Metazoa; Chordata; Mammalia; Primates; Tarsiidae
Description: Y RNA (ENSTSYG00000025970.1)
Rfam family: Y RNA
About the family: Y RNAs are components of the Ro ribonucleoprotein particle (Ro RNP), in association with Ro60 and La proteins. The Y RNAs and Ro60 and La proteins are well conserved, but the function of the Ro RNP is not known. In humans the RNA component can be one of four small RNAs -- hY1, hY3, hY4 and hY5.
Source: Rfam by way of RNAcentral